RNAcentral lists this ribosomal RNA (639 nucleotides) under Escherichia coli. Its description in RNAcentral is "partial 23S ribosomal RNA". It matches the Rfam family "Bacterial large subunit ribosomal RNA", at positions 1270 to 1894 of the family's 2925-position model. The record is from RNAcentral. Lineage: Bacteria; Pseudomonadati; Pseudomonadota; Gammaproteobacteria; Enterobacterales; Enterobacteriaceae.
AUGCUGGAGGUAUCAGAAGUGCGAAUGCUGACAUAAGUAACGAUAAAGCGGGUGAAAAGCCCGCUCGCCGGAAGACCAAGGGUUCCUGUCCAACGUUAAUCGGGGCAGGGUGAGUCGACCCCUAAGGCGAGGCCGAAAGGCGUAGUCGAUGGGAAACAGGUUAAUAUUCCUGUACUUGGUGUUACUGCGAAGGGGGGACGGAGAAGGCUAUGUUGGCCGGGCGACGGUUGUCCCGGUUUAAGCGUGUAGGCUGGUUUUCCAGGCAAAUCCGGAAAAUCAAGGCUGAGGCGUGAUGACGAGGCACUACGGUGCUGAAGCAACAAAUGCCCUGCUUCCAGGAAAAGCCUCUAAGCAUCAGGUAACAUCAAAUCGUACCCCAAACCGACACAGGUGGUCAGGUAGAGAAUACCAAGGCGCUUGAGAGAACUCGGGUGAAGGAACUAGGCAAAAUGGUGCCGUAACUUCGGGAGAAGGCACGCUGAUAUGUAGGUGAAGUCCCUUGCGGAUGGAGCUGAAAUCAGUCGAAGAUACCAGCUGGCUGCAACUGUUUAUUAAAAACACAGCACUGUGCAAACACGAAAGUGGACGUAUACGGUGUGACGCCUGCCCGGUGCCGGAAGGUUAAUUGAUGGGGUUAGC